This 1387-nucleotide ribosomal RNA is filed under the name Pediococcus acidilactici. RNAcentral's name for it is "bacterial SSU rRNA". It matches the Rfam family "Bacterial small subunit ribosomal RNA", at positions 62 to 1439 of the family's 1533-position model. Lineage: Bacteria; Bacillati; Bacillota; Bacilli; Lactobacillales; Lactobacillaceae. The record is from RNAcentral.
UUGCACUGAAUGAGAUUUUAACACGAAGUGAGUGGCGGACGGGUGAGUAACACGUGGGUAACCUGCCCAGAAGCAGGGGAUAACACCUGGAAACAGAUGCUAAUACCGUAUAACAGAGAAAACCGCCUGGUUUUCUUUUAAAAGAUGGCUCUGCUAUCACUUCUGGAUGGACCCGCGGCGCAUUAGCUAGUUGGUGAGGUAACGGCUCACCAAGGCGAUGAUGCGUAGCCGACCUGAGAGGGUAAUCGGCCACAUUGGGACUGAGACACGGCCCAGACUCCUACGGGAGGCAGCAGUAGGGAAUCUUCCACAAUGGACGCAAGUCUGAUGGAGCAACGCCGCGUGAGUGAAGAAGGGUUUCGGCUCGUAAAGCUCUGUUGUUAAAGAAGAACGUGGGUGAGAGUAACUGUUCACCCAGUGACGGUAUUUAACCAGAAAGCCACGGCUAACUACGUGCCAGCAGCCGCGGUAAUACGUAGGUGGCAAGCGUUAUCCGGAUUUAUUGGGCGUAAAGCGAGCGCAGGCGGUCUUUUAAGUCUAAUGUGAAAGCCUUCGGCUCAACCGAAGAAGUGCAUUGGAAACUGGGAGACUUGAGUGCAGAAGAGGACAGUGGAACUCCAUGUGUAGCGGUGAAAUGCGUAGAUAUAUGGAAGAACACCAGUGGCGAAGGCGGCUGUCUGGUCUGUAACUGACGCUGAGGCUCGAAAGCAUGGGUAGCGAACAGGAUUAGAUACCCUGGUAGUCCAUGCCGUAAACGAUGAUUACUAAGUGUUGGAGGGUUUCCGCCCUUCAGUGCUGCAGCUAACGCAUUAAGUAAUCCGCCUGGGGAGUACGACCGCAAGGUUGAAACUCAAAAGAAUUGACGGGGGCCCGCACAAGCGGUGGAGCAUGUGGUUUAAUUCGAAGCUACGCGAAGAACCUUACCAGGUCUUGACAUCUUCUGCCAACCUAAGAGAUUAGGCGUUCCCUUCGGGGACAGAAUGACAGGUGGUGCAUGGUUGUCGUCAGCUCGUGUCGUGAGAUGUUGGGUUAAGUCCCGCAACGAGCGCAACCCUUAUUACUAGUUGCCAGCAUUCAGUUGGGCACUCUAGUGAGACUGCCGGUGACAAACCGGAGGAAGGUGGGGACGACGUCAAAUCAUCAUGCCCCUUAUGACCUGGGCUACACACGUGCUACAAUGGAUGGUACAACGAGUCGCGAAACCGCGAGGUUUAGCUAAUCUCUUAAAACCAUUCUCAGUUCGGACUGUAGGCUGCAACUCGCCUACACGAAGUCGGAAUCGCUAGUAAUCGCGGAUCAGCAUGCCGCGGUGAAUACGUUCCCGGGCCUUGUACACACCGCCCGUCACACCAUGAGAGUUUGUAACACCCAAAGCCGGUGGGGUAAC